Molecule: ribosomal RNA, 718 nt
Filed under: uncultured fungus
Lineage: Eukaryota; Fungi
Description: eukaryotic LSU rRNA
Rfam family: Eukaryotic small subunit ribosomal RNA (bases 1-241)
Source: RNAcentral
UUGCUCUUCAACGAGGAAUACCUAGUAAGCGCGAGUCAUCAGCUCGCGUUGAUUACGUCCCUGCCCUUUGUACACACCGCCCGUCGCUACUACCGAUUGAAUGGCUUAGUGAGGUCUCCGGAUCGGCCGCGGGGAGCCGGCGACGGCACCCCUUGGUUGAGAAGUUGAUCAAACUUGGUCAUUUAGAGGAAGUAAAAGUCGUAACAAGGUUUCCGUAGGUGAACCUGCGGAAGGAUCAUUAGUGAGGCUACGGCCAUGAUAUAACAAACCUGUGUGAACCGCCCUCGGGCAGCCCUCGGGCAUUACAAACCUGAUGUAACGAACGUUGAUUAUGGGAAUAAACACAACUUUCAACAAUGGAUCUCUUGGCUCUCGCAUCGAUGAAGAACGCAGCGAAAUGCGAUAAGUAAUGUGAAUUGCAGAAUUCAGUGAAUCAUCGAAUCUUUGAACGCACCUUGCACCCUCUGGUAUUCCGGAGGGUAUGCCUGUUUGAGUGUCAUGAAGCCUCAACCUUGACGGGAGACCGUCUCGGUUGGAUUUGGGCGUCUGCCGUCUGGCUCGCCUUAAAAGCAUUAGCGGUCGACUUUGACUCUGGCGUAUUAGGUUCCGUCAGCUUAGAGGUCGUCAGCUCACAACCCGCCCUCGGGCACUUCAUUCGAUUUGACCUCAGAUCAGGUAGGACUACCCGCUGAACUUAAGCAUAUCAAUAAGCGGAGGA